UUUCUUCCUACCACGGAGGUGGAGAAACGACUAAUGGAAAAGUGUGAAAACAAUAACAAAACCUGGAACAAACAUACAAUUACAUCAAGGUGUCCAAGGCCGCUAGAAAUGAAGACAAGUUCGAAGGUCCAUAUAGGACAGAUGGAGGACAGAAUUUG
Molecule: long non-coding RNA, 158 nt
Organism: Lemur catta (Ring-tailed lemur)
Lineage: Eukaryota; Metazoa; Chordata; Mammalia; Primates; Lemuridae
Exons: 3
Source: RefSeq, a predicted model, not a curated record